CUCUCUGACUCUGUCUGUCUCUCUCUGUCCUUACCUUUCCUUGUGCCAUCUCCCUUCAUAGGACACAGGCAGGGGUGCUCAGUGUGCAUCCCCCCAGGCUAGGUCUUGGGAGCCAUGGAGCAGUAGGAGCGGAGAAAAAUCAUGAGGGGCAGUGAGCGCUAAAGUGGAGCGGUGACUGUCUGCUUUUACCCAGUCUCUGUUCAUCGAGUCAGCCUGAGGUAGAUGGGAUGGGAGACGGACGCAGGGAUGAGGGCGUUAAUAGAGCUCUGCAUAGUGAUAGUUCUUGCUUGGCUUUAUUAGUUUGCGGCGGAAUCGUCCAGGAGCCCUCACCGGAGGAGAAACUGGCAAAGGUUGAUCUGAGUUGCCUGGACUUUAUUCUAAGGAGACAUGAACAGUCCUCAGCUUUCUGCCUCCCAUGUAAGCUGUCAGUGCUUGGAAUUCCUCAUCUGUACUGACUGUAUUCACAGCCCGUAUGGUUCCUCGUUGGGUACAGGACUCUGUGGUGGUAAGGCUGGGGAGGGGCCAGCAUCUGCUGUGCCGUGUGACUGUCGGGUACCGUUGCAAGGGCUGCUUUUUGGUUGUAAUGCUAAAGGUGUGAUGGGAAGAGUGGUGAGGGCGGAACCCCGCCGUGUUGGAGAGGCGAAAAGAAGAGCCAAUGCGACGUUGCCCACUGAGUUGGUAACUUUUUUUCCCCCCUUCUGCUGGUUUUAUUACCAAGGGAAAAGAAAUCUCGCAUCAGAGUCUGCUGUCCUCAUGCGAUGGAAAUUUGCAGAGGAAUCGUCCAGGAGCCCCAGCCGGAUGAGAAUGUCAGAAGUGGACCUGAGCAGCCUGGACAUCCUUCUAAGGAAACAAGAAUAGUCCUCAGGUUUAUGCCUUCUGCAUAACUGGCUUACCAAGCAAAAAGACGUCACAUGUCAAAGUCUACUGCCCUUAUGUGACGAGUGAUGAGACUGUGAGCGUUGUUGGUGCCAGGCAGGAGCCGUCCAUCUGGGAGCAGAACAGCUGCUACUAUCACUGAGAUAAGUAUCUGUUUUGCUGAGGGUUCUGCUCACGGCCCACCUGGCUACAGGUAGAGACACCCUGUUAGGUGGGGCUGGGUUUGUAAGAAAAGGUUCCUGACUAGCUGUGGUUUUGAGGGAGACACGGUCCCCAUUUUCAGGGGCUGAUCAUUUCUCUGGCCAGGAUCGGUGUGUCCUCGGCAGGAGAAGGU
Long non-coding RNA from Mauremys mutica (yellowpond turtle), 1210 nucleotides. RefSeq lists it as uncharacterized. Lineage: Eukaryota; Metazoa; Chordata; Testudines; Geoemydidae. The record is from RefSeq and is a predicted model, not a curated record. The transcript has 3 exons.